AUGAAGAAGGAGGGAGGGGAAGGGUUUAUUUGCUCUCCAGGGCUUCCUAGGCUGGGGCUCUUCCUUAGCACUGCUGUCUGGUCUCUGUGUGUUUCUAUCAGAGUAAAUAAACCUCCUCUUGUAAAUGCUGACCUCUGGCAAUGUAGUAAAUGCUGGUGUCAGCCAAACCUGUGCUCAGUCACUCGCGGGGAUGUGUUGCUCCUCAGUGUGAUGCUGUGGCAUUGCUUCCCCUGCAAGCACCAAAAGGAGAGGCCACGAGACACCUUCCUUUGGGUCUCAGUUCCAGCUUGCAUGACCUAGGAUUACAGUUGCUAUGGCGAUGAGACAGUUAGUGAAGGAAGGAGUGAAAGGUCUAAAAUAUCUGGGGAUAUCAUUUUAACCAAAGAAAACAGUCACACUGUUGAUAUAUGUAUGAAUGAGGAAGAGAAACAGACUGCGAAGGAGAGGGUAAGUCUGUCUGCAGCCUUCUUGUAACUGCUGUGGGGUCGGAGGAGGCAAAGAGAUGGCCAAAGGUGGCAGAAGGUGAUAUUGUUUCAGCAGGGGAUGCACCUCCAUCCAAGCUAGCAGCAGUUCCUUAUCAGCUGUGAGCGUGGUGAUCCUGGUCUGGAUGAAACACCAGCACAGGUAUCCCAUUUGCUUGUCACCAUUACGGGCUUUUGUGCUGCUUUCUCUGGGAACAGGACACACUGUUGUGCCUCUGGCUGGGAGGAAAAGUGGAUUAUGCUUUGCAUCCCUACAGUCCUUCAAAAAACAUUAGUGGAAGACGCACCCUCCCUUAUUUUUCUUCCAAUGCCAGGCCACAGACCUUCCCUUUGGAGGCUAGGCUGCCUUCUGAUCCAUGGCUGGCCACAGCAGAGAGAGGCAACUCUGUGUCUGUUACCAUAUUAGAUGAGGAAAGUUGGUAAGAGGCUAUCUGAGAUUACUACUUAUCUGAGAUCUCUUCUGCAUCAGUACCUCUUCUCCCAAAGAAAGCCGUUGCCAAGUAAAGCAGUGGGUAGUAGCUGGUCAGAGCAUCUGAUACCGGGCGGAGGAGGGUUUGAUUUGUUGGCUUUGUUUCUGCCACCUUCCAGUCCUCCUGGAGGUGUAAAGGAGCAUGGGGCUACCUGUGAGAGAAGCUCUGGCAGUUCCAGUGCUGCGAAGAACUAUUGAAGUGCUGUGUAUUAUAAAGCUAACAAAGGAAAUUCCUGUUUUUGGGGUAUUGCCCUCGGGUUUGGGGAUAGUUCUACUCUCUGCAGUAUCCAGGACGGUGUUUAUACUAAUGUUUAGCCUUUGUUUGCAAAGGAAGGUUUCCAAGCGUGAACCAAUUACAACUUCACGCGCUUCAAGGCUUGAAACAGCAAACAUCCAGAACUAAGGCUUUUGAGCAGGGCUGACUUCCCCUAGUAAUCCAUCACCAGAAGCUUCUGAAUAAAAUGCUGGCCACUUGAAUAUGUGAAGCUUGU
Molecule: long non-coding RNA, 1442 nt
Filed under: Anser brachyrhynchus (Pink-footed goose)
Lineage: Eukaryota; Metazoa; Chordata; Aves; Anseriformes; Anatidae
Description: lncRNA (ENSABRG00000016623.1)
Source: RNAcentral